Molecule: ribosomal RNA, 556 nt
Filed under: Exiguobacterium mexicanum
Lineage: Bacteria; Bacillati; Bacillota; Bacilli; Caryophanales
Description: bacterial SSU rRNA
Rfam family: Bacterial small subunit ribosomal RNA
Source: RNAcentral
CUUCGGGGGGAAGUCGACGGAAUGAGCGGCGGACGGGUGAGUAACACGUAAAGAACCUGCCCUCAGGUCUGGGAUAACCACGAGAAAUCGGGGCUAAUACCGGAUGGGUCAUCGGACCGCAUGGUCCGAGGAUGAAAGGCGCUCCGGCGUCGCCUGGGGAUGGCUUUGCGGUGCAUUAGCUAGUUGGUGGGGUAAUGGCCCACCAAGGCGACGAUGCAUAGCCGACCUGAGAGGGUGAUCGGCCACACUGGGACUGAGACACGGCCCAGACUCCUACGGGAGGCAGCAGUAGGGAAUCUUCCACAAUGGACGAAAGUCUGAUGGAGCAACGCCGCGUGAACGAUGAAGGCCUUCGGGUCGUAAAGUUCUGUUGUAAGGGAAGAACAAGUGCCGCAGGCAAUGGCGGCACCUUGACGGUACCUUGCGAGAAAGCCACGGCUAACUACGUGCCAGCAGCCGCGGUAAUACGUAGGUGGCAAGCGUUGUCCGGAAUUAUUGGGCGUAAAGCGCGCGCAGGCGGCCUCUUAAGUCUGAUGUGAAAGCCCCCGGCUCAACC